GCCCAUAACACAUGCAAGUCGAGCGGAACAUGGGAGCUUGCUCCCUGAUGUUAGCGACGGACGGAUGAGUAACACGUGGGUAACCUGCCUGUAAGACUGGGAUAACUCCGGGAAACCGGGGCUAAUACCGGAUGCUUGUUUGAACCGCAUGGUUCAAACAUUAAAGGUGGCUUCCGCUACCACUUACACAUGGACCCGCGGCGCAUUAGCUAGUUGGUGAGGUAAUGGCUCACCAAGGCAACGAUGCGUAGCCGACCUGAAAGGGUGAUCGGGCACACUGGGACUGACCACGGCCCAGACUCCUACGGGAGGCAGCAAUAUGGAAUCUUCCGCAAUGGACGAAAGUCUGACGGAGCAACGCCGCGUGAGUGAUGAAGGUUUUCGGAUCGUAAAGCUCUGUUGUUAGGGAAGAACAAGUACCGUUCGAAUAGGGCGGUACCUUGACGGUACCUAACCAGAAAGCCACGGCUAACUACGUGCCAGCAGCCGCGGUAAUACGUAGGUGGCAAGCGUUGUCCGGAAUUAUUGGGCGUAAAGGGCUCGCAGGCGGUUUCUUAAGUCUGAUGUGAAAGCCCCCGGCUCAACCGGGGAGGGUCAUUGGAAACUGGGGAACUUGAGUGCAGAAGAGGAGACUGGAAUUCCACGUGUAGCGGUGAAAUGCGUAGAGAUGUGAGGAACACCAAGUGGCCAACGCGACUCUCUGGUCUGUAACUGAC
This 716-nucleotide ribosomal RNA is filed under the name Bacillus subtilis. RNAcentral's name for it is "bacterial SSU rRNA". It matches the Rfam family "Bacterial small subunit ribosomal RNA", at positions 46 to 744 of the family's 1533-position model. Lineage: Bacteria; Bacillati; Bacillota; Bacilli; Caryophanales; Bacillaceae. The record is from RNAcentral.